UACGUAGGGUGCAAGCGUUAAUCGGAAUUACUGGGCGUAAAGCGUGCGCAGGCGGUUAUGUAAGACAGAUGUGAAAUGCCCGGGCUCAACCUGGGAACUGCAUUUGUGACUGCAUGGCUAGGGUGUGUCAGAGGGGGGUGGAAUUCCGCGUGUAGCAGUGAAAUGCGUAGAGAUGCGGAGGAACACCGAUGGCGAAGGCAGCCCCCUGGGAUAACACUGACGCUCAUGCACGAAAGCGUGGGGAGCAAACAGGAUUAGAUACCCUUGUAGU
RNAcentral lists this ribosomal RNA (271 nucleotides) under uncultured bacterium. Its description in RNAcentral is "partial 16S ribosomal RNA". It matches the Rfam family "Bacterial small subunit ribosomal RNA", at positions 524 to 794 of the family's 1533-position model. The record is from RNAcentral.